UCAUCAAGGCUAAAGGAAGAAGAGAGAGAGUACAGCCUUCUAUUAGCUAGCUCACAUUUUCUAGGUAUGAUCUCUUGUGACAAGGCUGUACCCUCUCUCUUCUUCUAUUAGCUUCUUGAUGC
This 122-nucleotide microRNA precursor is filed under the name Oryza brachyantha (malo sina). Its description in RNAcentral is "pre miRNA MIR529". It matches the Rfam family "MIR529 microRNA precursor family". The record is from Rfam by way of RNAcentral. Lineage: Eukaryota; Viridiplantae; Streptophyta; Magnoliopsida; Poales; Poaceae.